GAUAGGGACAGGGAAGCCUUUCUCAUCCCCGCCCCAUUUUGUAGACAUCUUUAAUUACUAACACAACGAUAAAGAGAGGUCAAGUUUGAAGAAGUGUGGCCUAUCUGGGAAGGUUCAUAUCAAGAUAUGUUAUAGUGGUAUAUGACGACCAGUACUGCAAACUUUUGUUGAAAUUAACAAUCAAAUGUAACGAUGUAGUUUCGUUGGGAUUUUAACAUGUGGAGCAUUGUGGUCAUACUGGGGGC
Molecule: long non-coding RNA, 245 nt
Filed under: Cucumis sativus (cucumber)
Lineage: Eukaryota; Viridiplantae; Streptophyta; Magnoliopsida; Cucurbitales; Cucurbitaceae
Description: long non-coding RNA (CSAT_LNC000691)
Source: RNAcentral